Molecule: long non-coding RNA, 529 nt
Organism: Perognathus longimembris pacificus (Pacific pocket mouse)
Lineage: Eukaryota; Metazoa; Chordata; Mammalia; Rodentia; Heteromyidae
Exons: 3
Source: RefSeq, a predicted model, not a curated record
UUGCCACUAGACCAUAUUCCCAGCCCUACGUAUAAUUUUUUUCAGCUAUAUUUUCUAUAUUCCACUAGUGCUUUAGAAAAAAAUAGACACUAAAUAAAGGCAAGUCAGUAUUGUAAUUAAGAUAACAAGGACCCCAGGCAAAAAUAGACUAAUUUAAAUAUAUGAAAAUUUCAGAUGGUGGUGGGUAAAAUUGUGAAGAUAGAGGUAAUCCAUGAAAACCAUCUGUUGGUAAUUGUUGAAUUUGUGUGAUGCUUCUGUUGGGACUAUAUGCUUGAAGAUUUCCUUAAUAAAAUGUUUAAAACGACUAAUUAUCUAAUUUGAGAAGGAUAUAGGAUAAGGGAAAAGAUCUAGAAAUGUGGGAGUAUAAUGGCUUCAGUAUACUCCAGUGUUUGAGUUUGAGCAAAAAUGGUUUGGAACCCACACGUGUAGAUAUCACACUGAAACAGGCUUAUCAGGUGCAGUUUCCUCUUUGAAAAAAUAUUGUUAUUAUAAAAGUGACAUAGAGGGGUUACAGUUACGUAAGUCAGGA